RNAcentral lists this ribosomal RNA (507 nucleotides) under uncultured bacterium. Its description in RNAcentral is "partial 16S ribosomal RNA". It matches the Rfam family "Bacterial small subunit ribosomal RNA", at positions 29 to 523 of the family's 1533-position model. The record is from RNAcentral.
AUUGAACGCUGGCGGCAGGCCUAACACAUGCAAGUCGGACGGUAGCACAGAGGAGCUUGCUCCUUGGGUGACGAGUGGCGGACGGGUGAGUAAUGUCUGGGGAUCUGCCCGAUAGAGGGGGAUAACCACUGGAAACGGUGGCUAAUACCGCAUAACGUCGCAAGACCAAAGAGGGGGACCUUCGGGCCUCUCACCAUCGGAUGAACCCAGAUGGGAUUAGCUAGUAGGCGGGGGAAUGGCCCACCUAGGCGACGAUCCCUAGUCUGGUCUGAGAGGAUGACCAGCCACACUGGAACUGAGACACGGUCCAGACUCCUACGGGAGGCAGCAGUGGGGAAUAUUGCACAAUGGGCGCAAGCCUGAUGCAGCCAUGCCGCGUGUAUGAAGAAGGCCUUCGGGUUGUAAAGUACUUUCAGCGGGGAGGAAGGCGGUGAGGUUAAUAACCUUGCCGAUUGACGUUACCCGCAGAAGAAGCACCGGCUAACUCCGUGCCAGCAGCCGCAGUAA